RNAcentral lists this transfer RNA (95 nucleotides) under Ureaplasma parvum serovar 3 str. ATCC 27815. RNAcentral describes it as "tRNA-Ser". It matches the Rfam family "tRNA". From Rfam's summary of the family: Transfer RNA (tRNA) molecules are approximately 80 nucleotides in length. Their secondary structure includes four short double-helical elements and three loops (D, anti-codon, and T loops). Further hydrogen bonds mediate the characteristic L-shaped molecular structure. tRNAs have two regions of fundamental functional importance: the anti-codon, which is responsible for specific mRNA codon recognition, and the 3' end, to which the tRNAs corresponding amino acid is attached (by aminoacyl-tRNA synthetases). tRNAs cope with the degeneracy of the genetic code in two manners: having more than one tRNA (with a specific anti-codon) for a particular amino acid; and 'wobble' base-pairing, i.e. permitting non-standard base-pairing at the 3rd anti-codon position. Lineage: Bacteria; Bacillati; Mycoplasmatota; Mycoplasmoidales; Mycoplasmoidaceae. RNAcentral also lists the same sequence under 12 other names. The record is from RNAcentral.
UGGAGAAAUACCCAAGUCCGGCUGAAGGGAUCAGUCUUGAAAACUGAGAGGCGAUGCAAGUCGCGCGGGGGUUCGAAUCCCUCUUUCUCCGCCAU